GGAUUCCCCUAGUAACUGCGAGUGAAGCGGGAAAAGCUCAAAUUUAAAAUCUGGCGGUCUUAUGGCCGUCCGAGUUGUAGUCUGGAGAAGUGCUUUCCGCGCUGGACCGUGUACAAGUCUCUUGGAACAGAGCGUCAUAGAGGGUGAGAAUCCCGUCUUUGACACGGACUACCAGUGCUUUGUGAUGUGCUCUCAAAGAGUCGAGUUGUUUGGGAAUGCAGCUCAAAAUGGGUGGUAAAUUCCAUCUAAAGCUAAAUAUUGGCGAGAGACCGAUAGCGAACAAGUACCGUGAGGGAAAGAUGAAAAGCACUUUGGAAAGAGAGUUAAACAGUACGUGAAAUUGCUGAAAGGGAAACGCUUGAAGUCAGUCGCGUUGGCCAGGACUCAGCCUUGCUUUUGCUUGGUGCAUUUUCUGGUUGACGGGCCAGCAUCGAUUUUGACCAUUGGAAAAAGAUUAGGGGAAUGUGGCACCUUCGGGUGUGUUAUAGCCCUUAGUCACAUACAGUGGUUGGGAUCGAGGACCGCAGCACGCCUUUAUUGGCCGGGGUUCGCCCACGUUCGUGCUUAGGAUGCUGGCGUAAUGGCUUUAAACGACCCGUCUUGAAACACGGACCAAGGAGUCUAACAUGCCUGCGAGUGUUUGGGUGGAAAACCCGAGCGCGUAAUGAAAGUGAAAGUUGAGAUCCUUGUCAUGGGGAGCAUCGACGCCCGGACCUGAACUUCGGUGAUGGAUCUGCGGUAGAGCAUGUAUGUUGGGACCCGAAAGAUGGUGAACUAUGCCUGAAUAGGGUGAAGCCAGAGGAAACUCUGGUGGAGGCUCGUAGCGAUUCUGACGUGCAAAUCGAUCGUCAAAUUUGGGUAUAGGGGCGAAAGACUAAUCGAACCAUCUAGUAGCUGGUUCCUGCCGA
RNAcentral lists this ribosomal RNA (908 nucleotides) under Fomitopsis betulina (razor strop fungus). RNAcentral describes it as "LSU rRNA". It matches the Rfam family "Eukaryotic large subunit ribosomal RNA", at positions 72 to 964 of the family's 3401-position model. Lineage: Eukaryota; Fungi; Basidiomycota; Agaricomycetes; Polyporales; Fomitopsidaceae. The record is from RNAcentral.